AUGGAUCCCAAGGCGGCGGCGAGGUCGAAGCGCUCGCACACGGUGCACGGCCGCCGGACCCACCAGACCCCCGCGGCGGCCGCGGCGCACAAGCAGAAGCGCGCCGCCGCCGCCGGCGGCGGCGGCGGCGGCGGCGGCGGCUCCUCCUCCGCCGCCCCUCGCAGCCGCAACCUCCCCUCCAACUGGGACCGCUACGAGGACGAACCCGAGGCCGACGACGCCGCGGAAUGGGCCGGCGAGGUGGCGCCGCGGAGCAAGGGCGCCGACUUCGCCUUCCUGCUCGAGCAGGCCCGGGCCCAGCCCCUCGAGGAGCGGGGCCUCGGCGCGGCCGGCCGCCUCGCCUCCCAGGACUCGGCAUUUGAUUUUAUGCAGGCUUCUACAUCUAUGCUUGAGGCUAAAGGGGAAGGAAUCAUGUCCUGGUUUGAUGACGAUAAUUUCAUAUUAGAGGAUGAUUUAGCACCAGAUUUUGAGGUGCCUUUUCUCUCCAUGGAUCUCCAUGCAUUGGCCACCAAGCUCUCAAAGAUUAAGUUGUCCCAGAGACUUUUUAUGGAAGAAGAUCUACUACCCGAGGAUCUGGCUGUUGCUUCUGAAGACGAAGAUGACGAAAUACUGAUUCAAUUGGGCACAACAUUGGAGUCUGAUGCUAAAGGCAGUUUGGUUCAACAUAACUUCAGGGACAUAAACCCUGGGAAAGAUGCUGUUAGUCCUGACCAUGCCAGCAACAUUCAUUCUGAUGGCCCAUUGAAAACACAUCAUCAGUCAGAAUGCUUUGCAGAAGAAGCAACUACAACAUCAUUCAAAGCUAUUCCUCGACCUAUGCAUUCAGACGCUGAAGCCUACACAGGAAUCACAGGUACUGUUCCAAAUGCAGGGCAUAGAGAACAGUCGAAGCUUGGGAUGGUUGCUCCAGAGGAAGGGCUCGAUAUGCUUCUUAAUUCACUCGAUGGAACUCACCUUUCCAGCUCCAACUUAGACGAGUCGUUUGGAAGUAGUUCUACUUUGGUAGGUAUGAAGAUCAACGAGUCAAAUGAGAAAGUCAUGUCUAGCAGCACCACGUCCAAAUUGCCGGCACUUUCUCCUGUUGAUGAUGAUCUAGAUGCCUUGCUUUCAGAGACAUCCUUAUCUGUCCAGAAUGAUGGUUCUGCUGCAUCAAGUUUAUCUUCUCGCCCAACUUUUGACUCCAAAAGCAACGUUGACUUCAGAUAUGCCAAGCAGAUUGAUGUAACAUCUAUCGAUGAUUCAGUCGAUGAUUUGCUUGCCGACACUCCUUUCUGCCUGAGUGAUCAGAAAGAAACAACACCUGUGCAGGAGCAACAGCACAUCUCCAAUGCCAACGCGCCUCCACCUUCUGGUUCCUCAAAUGUAUCAGCUGACUUUGAUUCGUGGUUUGACUCACUAUAG
This 1401-nucleotide ribosomal RNA is filed under the name Triticum aestivum (bread wheat). RNAcentral describes it as "partial small subunit ribosomal RNA". The record is from RNAcentral. Lineage: Eukaryota; Viridiplantae; Streptophyta; Magnoliopsida; Poales; Poaceae.